This 491-nucleotide ribosomal RNA is filed under the name uncultured bacterium. RNAcentral's name for it is "partial 16S ribosomal RNA". It matches the Rfam family "Bacterial small subunit ribosomal RNA", at positions 29 to 507 of the family's 1533-position model. The record is from RNAcentral.
GUGAACGCUGGCGGUAGGCCUAACACAUGCAAGUCGCACGGCAGCACAGUAAGAGCUUGCUCUUACGGGUGGCGAGUGGCGGACGGGUGAGGAAUACAUCGGAAUCUACUUUUUCGUGGGGGAUAACGUAGGGAAACUUACGCUAAUACCGCAUACGACCUACGGGUGAAAGCAGGGGAUCUUCGGACCUUGCGCGAUUGAAUGAGCCGAUGUCGGAUUAGCUAGUUGGCGGGGUAAAGGCCCACCAAGGCGACGAUCCGUAGCUGGUCUGAGAGGAUGAUCAGCCACACUGGAACUGAGACACGGUCCAGACUCCUACGGGAGGCAGCAGUGGGGAAUACUGGACAAUGGGCGCAAGCCUGAUCCAGCCAUACCGCGUGGGUGAAGAAGGCCUUCGGGUUGUAAAGCCCUUUUGUUGGGAAAGAAAAGCAGCAGGUUAAUACCCCGCUGUUCUGACGGUACCCAAAGAAUAAGCACCGGCUAACUUCGUG